AAAGAGAAUGGUUCAAGGAAGAAGGAAAAGGCUGGUGAGGAGAUGGCUCAGGAGCAGGGUAAAUAGUCAAGACAAUUUUAAUUUCUAAACCCAAAACCAGAAGGAAAAUCAAUUGAGGUUGAUGGAUACAUCAGUGAUUUGGGAUUUCAGUCAUGCAAAUUUUCAGCUUCCUGUGUCUUGUUGCUUCUACAUUUCAUCCAGUCAUUGAAUGUUCCCAGUGACAAUUUCUCCAAAUAUUUUCCUGCUGAACCAUAAUAUCUGCUGGUGAGCCCCGUUCAUAAAUUGUUAAUGAGUUUCAAAACUUCAGAAAAUGGGACAGGUGAGUCACAGGCUCCUUUUAGACUGGGAGAACCACUGAAAGACAAAACUGAAAUAAGCAACUUGAUGGGUCACUGCCAAUGAGUGAGAAAACAAAGUAAUUAACCAGACUGAAAAAUCUGCAUAAAUAAAAAUUACUACUGCUACUACUAAAAAUAGCAAUUCUAUCUUCCUAAACAAUUUUGCAGUAUAAAGAUCUGUUAUAAUUGCC
Molecule: long non-coding RNA, 529 nt
Filed under: Gallus gallus (chicken)
Lineage: Eukaryota; Metazoa; Chordata; Aves; Galliformes; Phasianidae
Source: RNAcentral